UUAAUUGAAACCAAAACCGAGGUAUAUCAUUGUUAAUGAUAACAUUGAGAUAAUUCUCCAAUUAAG
Molecule: transfer RNA, 66 nt
Filed under: Apteropeda orbiculata
Lineage: Eukaryota; Metazoa; Arthropoda; Insecta; Coleoptera; Chrysomelidae
Description: tRNA-Asn
Source: RNAcentral